Molecule: ribosomal RNA, 119 nt
Organism: Danio rerio (zebrafish)
Lineage: Eukaryota; Metazoa; Chordata; Actinopteri; Cypriniformes; Danionidae
Source: Ensembl
UGUGAUUCAGCCAUAUCAACCUGCAGCCCAAGACUGGUUACUCACUGAAGCCAAGCAGGGCUGAGCCUGGUCAGUACCUGGAUGGGAGACUACAUGGGAAGACCAGGUUGCUGUCGGAA